RNAcentral lists this small RNA (266 nucleotides) under Arabidopsis thaliana (thale cress). Its description in RNAcentral is "ATSL212900". The record is from RNAcentral. Lineage: Eukaryota; Viridiplantae; Streptophyta; Magnoliopsida; Brassicales; Brassicaceae.
AAUAUAUAAAGUUUAAAAAAAUCUUAAUUCUUUCCGUCAUAUUUUGUGACUCAAAAUUUUAAAAAUGAACAUAUAUUAACCAAUUGGCGAAAAAGUGUGAGUUCUACGUCCCACAUCGACUAAAAUAUUUAGACAAUGAUUCAUAAACAUAUCAUAAAUAAGAUUAACAUUAAUAAAAUAAUGGUUUUUUUACAGGACGGGUUUGGCGGGACGGGUUUAGCAGAACGUUACUUAAUAACAAAUGUAAACUAUAAAAUAAAAAUAUU